GUUAAGGAACAUAGGUCGUGUAUCCCUCCGCCACUGCGAUUUCUGCUACUUCCGCGAUUUCUGCUACUUCUGUGACUUCUGCUACUUCUGCGAUUUCUGCUACUUCUGCGAUUUCUGUGACUUCUGCUACUUCUGCGAUUUCUGUGACUCCUGCUACUUCUGCGAUUUCUGCGACUUACUACUGUAUGAAAAAGUUACAUCUGUCAACACGGAAAAUUGCAUCGCAACAAACCUGUCAUUGGCAAGUACCUGAACUACAUUUCAGUCACUCAGUAAAGUGAUAACUGAAAAUAUCAUUGUCAACAGAUCUGAAGAAAUUGCCACUGCAUCUUUAGACCGUUUUCGUCAGACGAGAGACACAGUUCUGACUCUGAUUACUGGUUGCUGUACGUAUCUAUCCACAUCAAGGCUGUUGGGAGGGACUCGUGAAGAUUCAAGACAGCUCUUAGAGGAUUUGCAGUUUAAAAGUGAAACAAUUGUGAAAUAAGUGUGUGAAUGAUUAAGCUGUGUUUUAUCGAAGUUGUUGUGCGAUUUUAAAGGAAUAAUAAAUGUC
Molecule: long non-coding RNA, 553 nt
Organism: Schistocerca nitens (vagrant locust)
Lineage: Eukaryota; Metazoa; Arthropoda; Insecta; Orthoptera; Acrididae
Exons: 3
Source: RefSeq, a predicted model, not a curated record